GACGAACGCUGGCGGCGUGCCUAAUACAUGCAAGUAGAACGCUGAAGGAGGAGCUUGCUUCUCUGGAUGAGUUGCGAACGGGUGAGUAACGCGUAGGUAACCUGCCUGGUAGCGGGGGAUAACUAUUGGAAACGAUAGCUAAUACCGCAUAAUAGUAGAUGUUGCAUGACAUUUGCUUAAAAGGUGCAAUUGCAUCACUACCAGAUGGACCUGCGUUGUAUUAGCUAGUUGGUGGGGUAACGGCUCACCAAGGCGACGAUACAUAGCCGACCUGAGAGGGGGAGCGGCCACACUGGGACGGAGACACGGCCCAGACUACUACGGGAGGCAGCAGUAGGGAAUCUUCGGAAAGGGACGGAAGUCUGACCGAGCAACGCCGCGUGAGGGAAGAAGGGUUUCGGAUCGUAAAGCUCUGUUGUAAGAGAAGAACGAGUGUGAGAGUGGAAAGUUCACACUGUGACGGUAUCUUACCAGAAAGGGACGGCUAACUACGUG
This 495-nucleotide ribosomal RNA is filed under the name uncultured bacterium. RNAcentral describes it as "partial 16S ribosomal RNA". It matches the Rfam family "Bacterial small subunit ribosomal RNA", at positions 28 to 507 of the family's 1533-position model. The record is from RNAcentral.